RNAcentral lists this ribosomal RNA (194 nucleotides) under uncultured Burkholderiales bacterium. RNAcentral describes it as "partial 16S ribosomal RNA". It matches the Rfam family "Bacterial small subunit ribosomal RNA", at positions 338 to 524 of the family's 1533-position model. The record is from RNAcentral. Lineage: Bacteria; Pseudomonadati; Pseudomonadota; Betaproteobacteria; Burkholderiales.
CCUAGGGGAGGCAGCAGUGGGGAAUUUUGGACAAUGGGCGCAAGCCUGAUCCAGCCAUGCCGCGUGCGGGAAGAAGGCCUUCGGGUUGUAAACCGCUUUUGUCAGGGAAGAAACACUCUGGGCUAAUACCCCGGGGUAAUGACGGUACCUGAAGAAUAAGCACCGGCUAACUACGUGCCAGCAGCCGCGGUAAU